This is a ribosomal RNA of Gasterosteus aculeatus (three-spined stickleback), 435 nucleotides long. It matches the Rfam family "Eukaryotic large subunit ribosomal RNA", at positions 1456 to 1888 of the family's 3401-position model. NCBI's taxonomy places the organism in Eukaryota, Metazoa, Chordata, Actinopteri, Perciformes, Gasterosteidae. The record is from Rfam.
GGUAGUAGCAAAUAUUCAAACGACAGCUUUGAAGGCCGAAGUGGAGAAGGGUUCAUGGUGAACAGCAGUUGAACAUGGGUCAGUCGGUCCUAAGAGAUGGGCGAACAAAAAUCGAAAAGGAAGCUGGGUUCAGAUUCCCGGACUUGGAGUGGCGGAGACAGGCACCGCGAGGCUCCCAGUGCUGCGACGCAAACGAUUCCGGUGAAGCUGGCGGGAGCCCCGGGGUGAGUUCUCUUUUCUUUGUGAAGGGCAGGGCGCCCUGGAACGGAUUAAUCCAGUGUGCAGUUACACCUAGAAAGCUUUUAUUGUAAGCAGUCCAGAUCUCUGCUGUGGUAGAGACAUGUUGUAAACCCUCAAAUGUUUUUUUUAGCUCGACCUGCAUUUUCGCAUAUUCUCUGUCUAAAUAGCUGGAAAACGUCUUCCUGCACAUUUGCC